RNAcentral lists this ribosomal RNA (496 nucleotides) under uncultured bacterium. RNAcentral describes it as "partial 16S ribosomal RNA". It matches the Rfam family "Bacterial small subunit ribosomal RNA", at positions 29 to 507 of the family's 1533-position model. The record is from RNAcentral.
AUGAACGCUGGCGGCGUGCCUAAUACAUGCAAGUCGAGCGAACAGACGAGGAGCUUGCUCCUCUGACGUUAGCGGCGGACGGGUGAGUAACACGUGGAUAACCUACCUAUAAGACUGGGAUAACUUCGGGAGACCGGAGCUAAUACCGGAUAAUAUAUUGAACCGCAUGGUUCAAUAGUGAAAGACGGUUUUGCUGUCACUUAUAGAUGGAUCCGCGCCGCAUUAGCUAGUUGGUAAGGUAACGGCUUACCAAGGCGACGAUGCGUAGCCGACCUGAGAGGGUGAUCGGCCACACUGGAACUGAGACACGGUCCAGACUCCUACGGGAGGCAGCAGUAGGGAAUCUUCCGCAAUGGGCGAAAGCCUGACGGAGCAACGCCGCGUGAGUGAUGAAGGUCUUCGGAUCGUAAAACUCUGUUAUUAGGGAAGAACAAAUGUGUAAGUAACUAUGCACGUCUUGACGGUACCUAAUCAGAAAGCCACGGCUAACUACGUG